RNAcentral lists this long non-coding RNA (14148 nucleotides) under Nicotiana benthamiana. RNAcentral's name for it is "long non-coding RNA (NBEN_LNC035645)". Lineage: Eukaryota; Viridiplantae; Streptophyta; Magnoliopsida; Solanales; Solanaceae. The record is from RNAcentral.
AAAGUAAAACACAAUAAAAAAGACAAUAAACCAUCACACAAACAUCUCUACUCAUAGUAAGAAGCAACCGACUUCAUAUUGUGUUGGGCAUCGAUGAUCCUCCCUUAGCCGCAGCCAUAGGUGUACUCAUAGUAAGAAGCAACAAACUUCAUAUUGUGUUGGGCAUCGAUGAUCCUUCCUUAGGCGCAGCCAUAGGUGUGGUUAAUAACAUCGUAGUAACAAUACUUACAAUACCUAUCAUAGCAAUCACUGCUCGACCGGCAGUAUCCGCCGCAACCACUCAUCAAACUCUUACUACCAGUUAGUUUUGACACUAUUAGAAUUUCAGAAAAAAACAAUCAAAUUUUAACUAUUAAAGUUGGUCUGUCAAGAAAAGGGAUUAUAAUUGGUCGUUAAAUUAGUGAAAAUAAUAAAAUAAUUAUUUAAAUUAUAUUAGUGACCAAGGUUGGUUGCUAUUUGGCCAACAAAUUUAACUAAAUGUUGACCGGGCGGGUCACACUUUUUUUUGGUCAAAGAAAUACUGAGAUUAGCAACCAACAUUGAUCGCUAAAGGGGGAACCACUUAUAAAAUAUUAAUAAUUAUAAUAUUAUAUUAAAAAAGUUAUAAAAUAUAAAGAAAUAUAAUUUAAAAUUAGCGACAAAAGUUGGUCGCCCAUUAAAAGGUAAGCAGAUAGAGACCAACUUUGGUCGCUAAUAUGAGACCAAGUUAUAAAAUUUUAGUAAUAAUAUUAUUAUUUCAAAAUAAUAAAAAAAUAUAAAUAAAUAUUAUUCAAAGUUAGCGACCAAAGUUUGUCGCCUGCUAAAAUAAAGACCAACUUUGGUCACUAAUAUGGGACCAAGUUCUGACGUUUAACAAUUAUAUUGUUAAUUUAAAUAUUAUAUAAAUUAUAUAUAAAUUUGAUUUAAAUUUAGCGACCAACUUGGUCGCUAAUUUUAAUUUAUGUAUAAUUAGCGACCAAAGUUGGUCUCUUUUCAAGUCAAUAUUGGUCAAAAUUAAAAAUUACUUUUGUAUUUAUUAUUUAAACAAUAUAAAUAUAAGCCGUAAACAUUUUUGUAGUACAAGGGGUGAAUAGACCAAAAUAUACUCUAACAUGCUAUAUAUACAGUUAGGUAGUACUACGAAGCAUGCGUCUCUCUCUCUCUCUCUGGCUCUCUCUCUCUCUCUCUCUCUCUCUCUCUAUAUAUAUAUAUAUAUAUAUAUGUCAAAGGUUUCGUACAAAUGUUUCAAAUGGUCCUAUGCUCAUAGGAACUUGGCCAACAGAGAGUCAAUGUAAACUUCAAUUGAUUUUCCUAUUUGAUCCUCGAAUAUGCGAUUUUUUAGGUGUUGGUAGGUGGCAGUUUCAUUCUUUAAUCCAAAUGACAUUACUUAUAUAUAUUUAUUUAUAAUAGCUAUAUUCGAUAUAGCUUUAUAUAUUUAAUAUUAUACUAUAUCUACAUAUAUAUACUAUACACUUAGUAUAUAUAAUAUACUAUACUAUAUAUACUAUUGGCCAUUUAAGAAAUUGAUACUCUUUAGGUGUAUGUGGUUUAACCCAAAUUCAACAAGAGGUACAAGAGUACACAAUCAAUACAUUAUAAUUGAGGUUAAUCAUAGGAGGGAGUAUGAUUGUUAUGAUCCUUUCGUAAUUACACAUAAUGAUAGACAAGUGUAUUAUGCUCCUCAUCUAUUGUGACAACAUAAGUCUAAUUGGUGGGUUGCAAUAAAAACAAAGCAUGUAGAUAUGAUGAAAGCCGAGAAUGUGUUAGAUGUUUCAUAUCAAAACGAUAUCUCCGGUGUUCACCAAAUAGUGGACGACGUUUUAGAAAAUGAUUUGAAACAUCCUGAAUACAUAUUGGAAGAAGUUGAUAUAAAUGAAGUAAAAAUUAUUGAAAACGAGGAAGAAGAGUCAACCGAUGAAGCUCAAACUAGUGAGGAAGAAUAAUUCUCAUUUAUAGCUAAUUUAUUUAUAUGUUAGAAUCUAAAUAUCUAUUAUAUUAUGCAGAUGACAUGCAUGAGUCAAGGUAAAAAUGAUCCUACUGGUUCUCGGGGUCAAGAAAAGGCAAGGAAACUAAAUAGAAGGGUAAAAGAAAAUACUCAAUCUUUCUCACCCUCUUCAAAGAUAGGAUAAGCAAAUAUCAUAUCUUCAAGUUGUAUAUGUAUUUGUUUCUCUAAUCCCAAGUUAAACUUUUCGAGUUUACUUUAGUGUGACCUUCUUCUACCACCGCGUUCAUCAGUUGUACCACUUCUCCUGAGCUAAAUUCAUCGAAGUUGACAGACGACCCCAAGCAGGACAGUGCAUCAGCCUCACUUGUUUGAUCUUGGGGUACAUCUUGCAGAGUUAAUUUCUUGAAUUAGUGCAGGGUCACCUAUAAUUUGUCCAAGUACAUCCGCAUGUAUUCCUCUUUCACUUCGAAUGUUCUAUUAACUUGAUUUAUGACAAGGAGGGAGUCUCAUUUUUCUUUGAUCACUUCGCCCCCAAGGCUACUAGCAAGUUCUACACCUGCAAUCAUGACCUCAUACUCAACUUCAUUGUUAGUGAAUUUUAAAGUUCUAAUAGACUUCCUAAUUAGGCUUCUACCAUGCCGUUUUAAUACGAUACCGAGCUUGAAGCCUUUUGCAUUGGAUGCACCAUUGGUGAAUAGGGUCCACAUCCCCAAAUUAGUCCUCGAGGUGAGCAGUAAUUCCUGUUAUACUUCAGGUAUAAGGACCGCGUAAAUUUGUCCAUGGAGUCUGCUGAAAUCUAUGAUUUUAUGGCAGUUGGGGCCGGUACUCGAUGUCCUACCCACUGAUCUCUAUGACCUAUUUGUCUAACACGGCCCGAGAUUUCAGAUUAUAUAUAAUAUUCCUUAGUGGGUAAGAGGUCGCGACACGGAUAUGGUGGCAUUGGAAGUGUGAUUUUAGCUUCCUUGAAGCACUUAGCAAAGCGAGUGCUAACAUUUCCAAGUGAGGAUAUCUUGAUUCGGCAUCGUCUAGAGUUUUGGUGAUAUAGUAAAUAGGAAAUAACAUACCUUCUUCCUCUCGGACUAAGGCAUCAAUUACUGCUACCUCAAAAAUCGCCAAGUAGAGGUAUAACUGUUCGUCUUCCUUCAGAGUGUGAAGUAGAGGGGGGCUUGACAAUAUCGUUUGAGUUCUUUCAAAGCUUGCUGGAAUACCCAACUCAAAGAGAAAUUAUUCUUUUUCUUCACUAGUGAGAAGAAUCAAUAUCUCUUGUCCAAGGACCUCGAGAUGAACCUUCCCAAUGCCGAUAUAUGCGCGAUCAAUCUUUGGACCGCCUUGAUGUUGUCCACUAUGGUGAUGUCCUCUAUGGCCUUUAUUUUGUUGUAGUUGAUCUAUAUCCCCAAUUUGGAUACCAUGAACCCAAGGAAUUUACCCAAACUAACCCGAAUGAGCACUUCUUCGGGUUUAGCUUCAUGUUGUAUUUUCUUAGUAUGUCAAAGGUUUCGUACAAAUGUUUCAAAUGGUCCUAUGCUCAUAGGAACUUGGCCAACAGAGAGUCAAUGUAAACUUCAAUUGAUUUUCCUAUUUGAUCCUCGAAUAUGCGAUUUUUUAGGUGUUGGUAGGUGGCAGUUUCAUUCUUUAAUCCAAAUGACAUUACUUUAUAGCAGUAGGUGCCGAAUUUGGUUAUGAAAGAAUUCUUUUCUUAGUCAUCAGGGUCCAUUCGAAUUUGGUUGUACCCGGGUAAGCAUUAGAAAAAUUGUGUAUCUCGUGCUCGGACGUCGUGUCAUUCAUUGUAUCAAUAUUAGGCAAAGGGAAUGAAUCCUCAGGGCAUGUUUUGUUUAGUUCUUUAUAAUCCAUACACAUCUUUAGUUUAUUUCCUUUUUAGGUACUACCACAAUGUUAGCUAGCCAAUCAGGGUAUUUAACUUUUCGGACGGAUCCUAUAUGUUGAAGUUCGGAUACCUCAUCCUUGAUGAACUCCUGUUUGAUCUUGGACAAUGAUCUCCUCUUCCGUUUAAUCGGAUGGAACUUCAGGUCCAAACUCAGCUUAUGAGUGGUUACCUCCGGUGGGAUCCCUGCUAUGUCUAGGUGGGACCAAGAGAAACAAUCAGUGUUGGCUAUAAUAAAAUCAAUUAUUUUUUUCCUUUGCUCGAUGGUUAACUCCGUGCCCAGGUAUAUCUUUCGAUCUGGUAGAUGCUCGAUUAAUAUGACUUUCUCAAAUUCUUCAACAAUUGAUUUUGUGGCUUCGGUCUCAUCAAUAGCUAUGAAUGAUCUUGGGAUGUCGUAAGCAUCAUCCUUGUCUACUCAUCGUUCUUCUUGUUUCUCCGAUUCGGUUGAGGGUGGUAUCAGUGAUUGAUAUUUAAUCUCUUUCUUUUUUGUCGGUUUUGUGUUACUUGAUGUCGAAACUGCGAGCAUCGGGAUUGCCUCAUCAGUAGUAAACAUCUACAUUAUGGCCGGUUGUUCUCCGUAGACCAUUUUGACUCCCUCGGGUGCAGGAAAUUUUAACACUUGGUGCAAGGUCGAGGAUACCGCCCUCAUUUGUGGACCCAUGGCUUUCCCAAUGGAGCGUUGUACCUCAUGUCCCCUUCGAUCAAGUAAAACUUUGUUUCCUGGAUUGUCCCGACUAUGUUUAUUUUCAAAGUUAUCUCCCCUUUCAUGGUCUUACAUGCCAUGUUAGACCCAUUCAGUACCUGGACUACCGAUACAAUUUAAUCUGGUAAUCCUAACUGCUCUACGACCGUUAAUCGGAUGAUGUUGGCCGAGCUACCUGGAUCAAUCAACAGAGGUAUAACAUGAGAUUUAUUAAUAAGUAUAUAUAUAUUACUGGUGCAUCAUUUUGAACUUCGAAGAUUGUUGUAGCAUCUUUUAUGAUUCCAACUUCCAAAGGUUGUCGUAAUUGGACUUUCCUUUUUUUUUUUUUUCCUCUUGUUAAGUCUAAAUAAAAAUUACUCUUUCCAUUUCAUGUUAUGUGAACCUAUUUCUUUUUUGGUCCGUGUCGAAAAGAAUGACCUCUUUCCUUAUUUGAAAACAAUUUACUUUUAUGCAAUGAUUUAUAGCUACACAAAAUAUAUGUGACUCAUUUUACACCACAAGUUUAAAAGUCUUAUCUCUUUUCUUAAACUCCGUGUCUAAUCAAAUAGAUUUACAUAAAUUGAAACAGAGGGAGUGUCAUAUAGCGCAACCCCUUACCUAUGAUUAGAUGCUUGCUUCAUUAAUCAUGUAGGUAUGAGGGGUUCGUUUGUUAAUGCCAUGGGAAAGCUGGCUUUAUAAUUUCAGUUAUGUAGUUAUCCCUCUUCUCUCAACACCCCUCCCCCCUCCUGGGGGCAUACCCCAUAAAAAGCUGGCUUCAAGAUAUGUAGUAUCUUUGCGUGGGAUCGUGAACAUGACAAAGCUGUAGUAACGAGGAAACCAAGAUAUUGAUAAGCUAAAUGAUAAUGGUGUUUUACUCAAAAUUAGCAGUACAGAUACAACAGAAACAGUUAAUGUAGGCCAACACGACCCAUCUUGAUGUUACAUUCGACAUUGUCCUGAUCUAAAUAGAAGCAGAACUUAGUCGUUUUAUUUUUUCAAUUAAGAAAAAACUGAAACGGGAAAAGUAAAACACAAUAACAAAGACAAUAAACUAUCACACAAACAUCUCUACUCAUAGUGAGAAGCAACAGACUUCAUAUUGUGUUGGGCAUCGAUGAUCCUCCCUUAGCCGCAGCCAUAGGUGUGGUUAAUAACAUCGUAGUAACAAUACUUACAAUACCUAUCAUAGCAGUCACUGCUCGACCGGCAGUAUCCGCCGCAACCACUCAUCAAACUCUUACCACCAGUUAGUUUUGAUUUGAGUUCUGCUGGUACAUUCGCCGGCAAGUCUCUCACAGCCAGUAUUGGAGACUGAGCCAAAUAAACUAUAAUCCAGUAAUAAAAAAUCAAAUGUCAAAAUCAAUAUGUUAUACCAUUGUUAAUGUUCCAACUAUACAUUAUAUUGACGUAUAUAUGUAAACCCAUAUAGAGACAAUAUCAAAUAAAAAGAGAGUGAGGGGUAGAAAAUGUAAUAGGACAUUUACCAGACAUCACCAUGAGCGCAACAGUGAAAUAGAAAGCAUAACUGCGAGCCAUGACAACAGUAGUAUUGCUUAUAAGAGGGAGAAAGAUAUAUAAGAAAAUGUGUUAUUGGACUGCAAUUUUUUGCUUCAUAAAAGCCAUGAAUUUAUAGGCCUCUUCUCCCCUAUAUUUUUUUUUAUCUAAAUUACAACUUGUGUUUAACCAAGAUAUAUUACUUACCAAGUUGAAACAAAUUUAUUCAAGAAAGGGGAAGGAAAAGUCCAGAUGAUGAGAACCUUAUUAGUAGAGAUUCCCUCCAGUUUCUUUGCAUGUUACUUAGUUACCAAGUGGGUAUUAUAGAUUUUGGUUUAACCUAAUUAGUAACAAAUAAAUUAUUAUUAAAAGUGGCUUACACACUCCCAAGUAGUUCAUGCAACCCUCACUUAGGCAUCCAUCUGAUAUGCCAUUGUAAGAAGAGGGGGAAAGUUAUUGAGAUCAAGAGCUCCUUUCGAAAAAAUCAACUUGCUUAAUUAAACAGAAGAUUAAUUAAAUUAUAGCAACUUGCUUUAAUUGCAUAGCCGCUUCCCCAUGCAUUCUGAUUAGUUGGCUAAUCUGCCUCGACUGGAUCUUCAGUUUAAACGUAUUUAACUACAUAAUCUUACUUCAUAUAAUUUCUCCGGUUUCCGUUUUCAAAAUUUCCAUUUGAUUAAAUAAAUCUCUAAUUGGAAUCAAUAUUUUCUCCGAUCAGUUGGUUUUUGUAAAUUUGGUUUUAAUAUUUCUUAUACUACUAGUCUUCUAAUUAAUUUGCAAAUAAAAUUAACACUUGAAUGCAAAUUAAAAGUUUACCUUUUCAUACAUUUUUGUGGGAUAAAUGAAACUUACCACGGAAGGCUCGUCCUAACAAUACAUGGCAUGGCAAACCAGAGGCGACUCCAGGAUUUAAAGCUUGUGUGCUCUUGCAUCGACUUCAAGUAAAUUUACAGUAAUAAUUGAGUUAACGAUAAAAUAUUUAUAGAUAUUUAAUGAACUUCUUAAUAUAUAAAUAAAAUUUAAGCAAAAGUUAUUGUUUUCCCGUGAAUGCAUAUGUCGGACUCUAGAUCCGCCCAUGUGACAAACCAAAUGAUUAGCUCUAAGUAGUUACACUCUUUCCAUCUAGAAAAAACGAUAUACUAUUAGAUUUACAUUUAUAAUUUUUUCAUCAUUUGAAAAUAUUUGUAAUUAUAAGAUACUAUGUGUAUAUAAUCGAAACAUGGUUCGCCUGUUAUAUGACUAAUCGAGACUAAAACGUGACAGAUUAAAGUUCAAUCUCGGGUUAUAAUGAAACGAGGUGCAAAAUGGCAUCGUUGUGAUCGUGACCCGAGGACAGAACAUAAUUGAGACCGAACAAAUUCGAUGAUAAUUUGUCGACCAAGUAAUAGAAGGCCGAAAUAUCCUUGAAAAUCAUGGCAGAAAUCUCCGCAAGUAUCAAGAAGAAGCCGAGUAAUUAGCAAACCAUAAGAUGUUUUUACCUUGUAUAUGAUUAUACCAAGUAGGACAAUCUUACUAUAUAAAAGGGGGUCUGAUCAUUUGUAACACACAUUCAAACACGCAAUACUAUGCAAUUUACUAUUAUUUCUAGCUCGGAUCACCUUGUUAUUCAGUUCGUAUAUCAGAAGAGGCAUUUCUUGUCUUGAGGGUGAUCAAACACUAACGUCAAGGCUGUCCAAUUUGUGUGGUUUGCAUUUAUUUCCUUAUCAUUAAUUUUAAUAUUUAUUUGUCUUCUUAAUUUGUGCCAAGUUAUAUCAUAUGUCAUUAAAACCGCGUAUAAAAUCAAUUGUUCAAUUUGUGUGGUUUUCAUUUAUUUCCUUAUCAUUAAUUUUAAUAUUUAUCUGUCUUCUUAAUUUGUGCCAAGUUAUAUCAUAUGUCAUUAAAACCGCGUAUAAAAUCAAUUGUUACUCAUUUUUUAGGUAAAUAAUUUUGCUCUCACCGUGGGCUAAGGAUAAUAGUAGGUACUCGGUACAAACUUUCACAACACACAAUUUUUCACUUAUUCUUUAAAGUAUCUUUGAUUCCACGGUAGCAAUGUCGAACUCCAGUCAGCACCCUUCAGUAGACAUCGAUUCGUCUACCACAAUGAGAAUAAUAAAUCCAAUCGACAUCGGCUCACAUGUAGCCCUCAUCACAAAUUUGGCUGUCAAUCUUGUGGGAAGCAUCCGCGGGGAUAUUCUAUCAGCUGCUCAAAGCACAUAUGGAGUAGAAGAUGGCGAGAUCAACCUGCUAGUGAGUUUUGAUAUGUUGUAUGCUCAACAAGCAGCGAUAACCCAACUCCAUAACUAGAAUCACCCACCGAGCUGGAUUGACCAUGAGCCGUCACAGAAAGUUGUCCACAGGGUCAGAUUAGUUUUGAGGCAACCGAAUGAGAGAGAAUCAUGGACAGACCCUGCAAUCAUGAAAAUGCUCGAAGAGCUGAAUGGAACGAAUGGAACUGUAACCAAUCGUCGAUGAUUGGGCUAUUUAAGCUUUCACUCAAGGACUCAAUGUUCGAAUCUCGAUGGCUUCGCAUUAGUUGAAGCAGAAUUUGAUAGAGUACCGGUGAUGACCUGAAAGGUCAUCACUUAUUUUAUAAAUAAAUUCUGCAUUCCGAGGCCUAAAAACCUUCUAUUUGUCUCACCUUAAUUGGUCAGUUGAAGCAGAAUUUGAUAGAGUACCUGUGAUGACCUGAAAGGUCAUCACUUAUUUUAUAAAUAAAUUCUGCAUUCCGAGGCCUAAAAACCUUCUAUUUGUCUCACCUUAAUUGGUGUGCGCAGUCCCGGCGUGUAUCCGAAAUUUCAUCAUGUGUAAAUUUGUGAAAAUGGUAAAUUUUGCUUCUAGAAUGAUGUUGUGUUAACUUCGGUCAAUAUUUUGGGUAGCAGACACUGACCCAUAUUUCGAUAGUCCCGGAAGGUCCGUGGAGAAAAUGGGACUUGGGCGUAUGUCUGGAAUCGAAUUCUAAGGACCUAAGCUCGAGAAAUAAAUUUUUAAAGAAAAUUAUUUUAUGGAAUAUACAUGAGUUUUCGAAAAUGAAAUAUGUUGAAUUUGAUGGUAUCGGGCCCGUAUUUUAGUUCCGGAGCCUUGUACAAGUUUGAAAUAAUAAUUUGGUUAAAUCUGUAAAAUUUUGAAAAGAUCAGGAUUGGUUUGGUAUAGAACGGGCUUAAAAUUGAGAAAUUGGAAUUUUGGGUGUUCUUGGAUGAUUUCAUGAAUUUGGGAUUCAAUUCAUAGUUGUUUAGUUAUUUUGAUUAUUUUGUUGCACGAGCAAGUCCGUAUGAUAUUCUCAAGUUGAUGUGUAUGUUUUGUUCGGAGCUCCGAGGGCUCGGGUGAGUUUUGGAUAGGCCAUAGAGUGAAUUUGGAUUUCGGAAAUUUUCUGGUGUGUUGUAGGUUUGUAGCACGCCUCUGAUCUCUCAUUUGGGAGAUUAGACAUCACAAUUGGGAUGAAAGUAAGGGUUCACAAAUUUGAGGUCUUGGUCGCAUAUGCAAAGAACCCCGCACCAGCUUUAUCUCUUAUCUGCGAGGUACACUUUGCAAGUGUGAAGUCUUUAGUUAAUGCCAGGAGUUGAAAAUGAAACCCAUGAAUCGCUAAUGCGAUGUCGCAAAUGCGCCAUAUCCUUGGCAUAUGUGAUGUUAGCAGGUUCCUUAAGGGUUCGCAAUUUCCGCAAUUGCUACAUCUGAGACCUGCCAAUUCAACCCUUUCAAAACCUAAACACUUUUGUGCGAUUUUUCAAAGAGAAGUACUGUUCCAAAUCGAAUGUCAGUCCAAUUUAACUCUUUUUAUUAAUCUUUAAUAUCUUUUCUCAUGAUUUCAACUCAAAAUCGAAGGUUUUCAUGUGGGAAAUUGGGUAUUUUGGGUAGAACCUUGGUUUUACAAAUAUUGGGAAUUUCGACCUUGAUUUAAGGUCUGAUUUCAAAAAAAUUAUAUAUUUGGGUUCGUGGGUGAAUGGAUAAUCGGUUUUUCCUACGAACCUCGGGUUUUGACCAUGUGGGUUCGGGGUCGAUUUUUGACAUUUUGAGGAAAAUCCUCAUAAAACCUAUUUUCAUGCAUUUGAAUUGAUUCAUUUAGCAAUUAUUGAUAUCGUUAAGUAACUUGUGACUCGAUACAACAAAAUUGGUGGUGGAAACGAGAGGUAAAGUGGUAGUUGAGGCUUGAAUUGUGUUCGUCUUAGGAAUUAUUGAUAUCGUGAAGUAACUUGUGACUCGAUACAAGAAAAUUGGUGGUGGAAACGAGAGGUAAAGUGGUAGUUGAGGCUUGAAUUGUGUUGUGGUAUCAAGGAAAGUGUUUGGUCUAACCUUAGCUUUGUCUUAUUUUCUAUGUGUUAAUUGUGGAGUAUGACGUAUAGGCAUGGUGACGAGUAUGGUUUCAAGCACGCCCGUGAGUCUCGUAUAUGAUUGUUGUGACUCGGUUUUGAUUUGUUCACGCCUAAUAUGUUGAUUACCAUUGUUGGUUCCCUUGUCGGGAUUUUGUCACGCCCCGAAUCUGAUGAGGUAUGACAAGAACUCGGUGCCAUACUUGGCCCGAGCGUACCACUCACUAACUAAAAACUCUGGAGGGGUAACCCUCAACUUAGGCUGAUGAGGCCAUAUUCUGAAUCAUAUGAAAAUAUCAACUCUCUUGUCUGAGGGGUAAGCAUACCAAAAAGCUCAUAUAUAUAUAUAUAUAUAUAUAUACCAAUAAAGCUAAUGUUUAACUUUUUCUGCUGGGAGGGUCUGUCCAACUAUCAAUGAGAACGUGCAAGCAUGAAAUGCAACGUCUCCGGCAAAAAGGACGCCAGUACAAAUUAAUCUACCGAGUAUAUAAGGCAAAAGGAUAACUGAAAGCUGAAACUAAAAUGAUAAUAUAAUAAUUGAAAGUAACUAGGAGUUCAAGAUAAUAUGAAGACAUGCUUACCUACUGAUACUGGCUCCGCUCUCUCAAUAUUAUAAGUAAAAUAGUUUUCUGGCCCUAUAAGGCCUCGAUAUAUAUAUAUAUAUAUAUAUUUGCUCAUAGGCGCACGACCAUAGUAGGCUCUAUAUCUUGGCCAUUGUGGGCUCGCUCAUAGGCAUUUGGCCACAGUAGACUCGGUAUAUAACUCACCAUCUAAUCAGAGGUUGCCAACAAGGGUUUGCCCACUGAUUAUAGUUCGAUGGAAGUGAAAGUACUAUAAUACUAUAUAUAUAGACUCUCUACUCUGUAGGCUGACAGAAGACAAAACUAAACUAAAUGUAAAGUCCCGAUAAGGGAGAAUGCAAUAAUUUAUGAGACUAGGAAAAUGUACAUCAAUUCAUGAAUAUGAACUUUUCUUUAUGUCUGGUUAUCAAACGCAUAUACUUAUUGGAUCAUGCCAAAGUGAAGGAAAGGUUAAGCCUUAACAUAACUUAUCACAAUCUUUCAAAUCACCAACUUGAACUCGAUCUUCACACCUUAAUCUAUAACAAUGACAAUAAUAUUAUCCCUAAGUUAUGAAAGGUACAACUAUCACAUAACAAACGACAAGUUUAUUUAUUAAUAAAAAUGGGCCGUAUCUCCCUUAUAAUUCUUACUUCCUCCAAAUUCAAGAUAACACCAAAAACACAAGAAAAUACUAAUAUCAACAUAUAUACAUUAUAUUCCAACCUUAUACACACCACAAAUUACUAUGAAAUAGCCUAACACUCUCCAAUCUCUUCAUAUACAAAACGACCGCCGUUAUACACACCAUAAAAUACUAUGAAAUAGCCCAACACUCUCCAAUCUCUUCAUACACAAAACGACCGCCGUAGUAGUGUCAAACAACACGAAAAUAAUACAACGGCCAGCCUUACACCCUGCAUAUAUGUGGUGUUUAUAAACACCCUUAGUCCUCCAAAACUCCAGAACACAGUAGUAAUUCACGAAGCCUAAUCGCAACACAAAACAAUCCACGAAACAGUCCGCUACAAGUAAAUAACCCGAACUCGAGGCUUCCGAUCACCAUCCCGUGAGUUCUUAUGACUAUAGAACGACUUACCAUGAUUUUAUAGUAGAAAAAAUGGAUGAAAGAGAGAAAUAAACAUACCUUAUUUGUUGGAUAACUCAGCUCAUAUCUUGGUUCUUCAAACUCUAGGUUUUACCCCCCAAAAUAAAAAUAAACAUACCUUAUUUGUUGGAUAACUCAGCUCAUAUAUUGGUUCUUCAAACUCUAGGUUUUACCCCGCAAUUAGAACUUUAAAGGGAGAGAAAAUCAAUUAUGUUUUGUGGGUAAUUUUUGGGAGGUAGUUUGCAGAGGUUUAGGUAUAUUUAUUUGUGAUAUGUAAUGAGAUCUAUAUAUUAGGACAUAAGCGCUUAAAUGGGCUCUUUGGGUGACCCGAAAUUGCCUCUUUUUGGGCUCCUAUUUAGGUGACACACCUACUUAUCACCUAGGAGCCUGUGCAAUCUUACAAAAGUGCCUAUAUCUAUCUACUCCGAUGUUGUAUUGAUCAACAAUAUAAUGCAUCCGAAAUAGACUCAUAGAUUUUCAACUUGAUGGGUGGAACAUCCCAUAACCAUAAAUAUAUUGGGAGAAAAUUUCAGUUAUAUUUGACCCAAAGUUUUAGUAGAACUUAUGAAUGUAACUUGUAAUGACCUUUUCCGACUUUUGUUCCACAAAUCGCAUGACUUAAAAUUAUAACACACAUCAAUAAUGAGACUAAAAUAACUCAUAACAUAAUCUCACCCUAUUCUCACCCCAAAAGUACAUGUUACAGUAUUCCCAACUUGUCAACUUUCAACGAAACUUAUUUUCUUUAAUUCAUUUAGUUUUGAAGCCAUCAAACUAUCUUGGUACUUGGUAUUCAUGAUCUUAAAUAUUUGUAACCUCCAUUGUUACAUGAUUAACUUAAUUUAUGUACUUUCAUAGUUUAUCUCAUUUUUGGGCUUACAUCAAUUGAGUUACAAAUACCCUCACGUACGAAAACAUGGGGUGUAACAUCAUUCCCCCAUUUGGAACAUUCGUCCUUGAAUGUUGAUUGAUGUGCCUAUUAGUCUCAUUAUCCAUAUCUCUUACGAAUAUUUUACUACUGUCCUUUUCAUCUAGGCAAUCGUUUUGUGUAUAAAUUCGAAGGCUAGGGCAUUUCCCUUUUAGGUCUCUUUUUCAUACCAUUGCUUUUUGUCAAAGUUCUUCAACUCUCGUAGAUGUUGCGACCUUCUAUCAUGCUGCAUGUAUGUGCUUCAUGGAUAACAUUGUCAACAUAUAUGCUAUAUCAUUGUCAACAUAUAUGCUUCAUGGAUAACACGCCUAAAUCUUAACUGUGUUCAUAACAUAACUAACUUUGUGUCAUAGAUCGAAUAAUUCUUUUCGUGCCUUCUCGGAUUUCUUUAAAAGUAAGGAAUCACCUUUGUUAGUUGUAAUGCCAUUUGUUGCAUGAAUACUUCGCUGAUCGUAUUUCCCACAUAUAUUGGAAUUGCAACUCAUAUGAUCUCAAAUAUUACUUUCGAUUUUACUUCGCGUUCCCUAGUCACGAUUGGUGCCGCUUUGUUAUGGAGAGCAUAGAAUGUCGUAGUGAGACUAUUAUUCCAAGAUCAUUUCUUCUUUAGGUCACUAUGCUUAUGUUGGUGCCUUCUUCCUUAUUCCCGAGCUAGUCUUUCAUUGUAUCACUUGGAAUACCCUCUAACUCUUCUAAAUCUAUGAGUUUAUUCUAUUCUCUACCCGACAUAAUUUUUGAUGUUCUUACUCGCCUAUUAUUAUCGUUAGUCACUUAAUUCUGUGCCCUUGUGCUCGUCAGGUUACUUCCGAUCCCAAAUCUUGAUUGUCUCCCAAAAUGGAACUCUUUUUUAUGCAACACUUAUGUUGUACCUUCUAUUUCCCCAACUCUAUCUGAAAAGUUUUCGAGGAUUACGAUAACGUGUUUGAGAGACUGAAUUUUCCUAUGUUAGAUUUCACUAUUUUUAUCUUACAUGAUCUACUGAUUUAUCUGAGACCUUUUGUGUAGCCAUAACUAGGCUUUUCCUGAAUCAACUACUAAGAAAAAACUAAAACGGGAAAAGUAAAACACAAUAAAAAAGACAAUAAACCAUCACACAAACAUCUCUACACAUAGUAAGAAGCAACCGACUUCAUAUUGUGUUGGGCACCGAUGAUCCUCCCUUAGCCGCAUCCAUAGGUGUGGUUAAUAACAUCGUAGUAACAAUACUUACAAUACCUAUCAUAGCACUCACUACUCGACCGGCAGUAUCCGCCGCAACCACUCAUCAAACUCUUACCACUAGUUAGUUUU